UGCCCUCUUCUGGCCUGCAGAAACACAUG
RNAcentral lists this non-coding RNA (29 nucleotides) under Cricetulus griseus (Chinese hamster). Lineage: Eukaryota; Metazoa; Chordata; Mammalia; Rodentia; Cricetidae. The record is from RNAcentral.